This 69-nucleotide transfer RNA is filed under the name Ictidomys tridecemlineatus (thirteen-lined ground squirrel). Its description in RNAcentral is "Spermophilus tridecemlineatus (thirteen-lined ground squirrel) tRNA". It matches the Rfam family "tRNA". From Rfam's summary of the family: Transfer RNA (tRNA) molecules are approximately 80 nucleotides in length. The record is from Rfam by way of RNAcentral. Lineage: Eukaryota; Metazoa; Chordata; Mammalia; Rodentia; Sciuridae.
GGGGCUGUAGCUCAGUGGUAGAGUGCUCAGCUAGCACAUGUGAGGCACUGAGUUCCAUCCUCAGCACCA